RNAcentral lists this ribosomal RNA (426 nucleotides) under uncultured bacterium. Its description in RNAcentral is "bacterial SSU rRNA". It matches the Rfam family "Bacterial small subunit ribosomal RNA", at positions 356 to 773 of the family's 1533-position model. The record is from RNAcentral.
AGGGAAUCUUCCGCAAUGGACGAAAGUCUGACGGAGCAACGCCACGUGAGUGAAGAAGGCCUUCGGGUCGUAAAGCUCUGUUGCCGGGGAAGAACAAGUGCCGUUCGAACAGGGCGGUGCCUUGACGGUACCCGGCCAGAAAGCCACGGCUAACUACGUGCCAGCAGCCGCGGUAAUACGUAGGUGGCAAGCGUUGUCCGGAAUUAUUGGGCGUAAAGCGCGCGCAGGCAGCUUCUUAAGUCUGAUGUGAAAGCGUGCGGCUCAACCGCAAGCGGUCAUUGGAAACUGGGAGGCUUGAGUGCAGAAGAGGAGAGUGGAAUUCCACGUGUAGCGGUGAAAUGCGUAGAGAUGUGGAGGAACACCAGUGGCGAAGGCGACUCUCUGGGCUGUAACUGACGCUGAGGCGCGAAAGCGUGGGGAGCAAAC